Molecule: long non-coding RNA, 371 nt
Filed under: Anas platyrhynchos platyrhynchos (common mallard)
Lineage: Eukaryota; Metazoa; Chordata; Aves; Anseriformes; Anatidae
Description: lncRNA (ENSAPLG00000017207.1)
Source: RNAcentral
CCACACUGCUUCAUUCCACCAGUCAAAAGAUUCACAAAUAAAGCACAAAGCUACGUAGUAAAGAAACAACAGGGGCAGCCUGACUUUGAAUGAGAUCAAAAGUUUAUUUGUGACUCUCUGUUUAGGCAGACUCUGAGUAUGCUUGGGCAAUGUUUCUGCUGGGCAGAACAAGGCAGCAGAAAGCCACUCUGCAGUGCCUGCUGCAUAGCUAUCGGUCUGCCUGCCUGCCUCCCACUUCUACCAGGCUGCUGGGGAGAAGGGUUUUAAAAACAGCAGAGCUGGAGCGCUGCAGAGCUGAGAUGGCCAAGGGGCAUGUGGCUUGCAGAAAUAACACACCCAUUAUAAAAAACAGGAACAUACUGAGCACCUAA